Molecule: ribosomal RNA, 487 nt
Filed under: uncultured bacterium
Lineage: Bacteria
Description: partial 16S ribosomal RNA
Rfam family: Bacterial small subunit ribosomal RNA
Source: RNAcentral
UGGGGAAUAUUGCACAAUGGGCGAAAGCCUGAUGCAGCAACGCCGCGUGAGUGAUGAAGGUCUUCGGAUUGUAAAGCUCUGUCUUUUGGGACGAUAAUGACGGUACCAAAGGAGGAAGCCACGGCUAACUACGUGCCAGCAGCCGCGGUAAUACGUAAGUGGCGAGCGUUGUCCGGAUUUACUGGGCGUAAAGGGUGCGUAGGCGGAUGUUUAAGUGAGAUGUGAAAUACCCGGGCUUAACUUGGGUGCUGCAUUUCAAACUGGAUAUCUAGAGUGCAGGAGAGGAGAAUGGAAUUCCUAGUGUAGCGGUGAAAUGCGUAGAGAUUAGGAAGAACACCAGUGGCGAAGGCGAUUCUCUGGACUGUAACUGACGCUGAGGCACGAAAGCGUGGGUAGCAAACAGGAUUAGAUACCCUGGUAGUCCACGCCGUAAACGAUGAGUACUAGGUGUAGGAGGUAUCGACCCCUUCUGUGCCGCAGUAAACAC